RNAcentral lists this transfer RNA (99 nucleotides) under Candidatus Woesearchaeota archaeon. Its description in RNAcentral is "tRNA-Arg". Lineage: Archaea; Nanobdellati; Candidatus Woesearchaeota. The record is from RNAcentral.
GCCCCUGUAGUUUACCGGAUUAGAAUACAAGGUUGCGGACCUUGCGGACGGGGUUCAAUGUGUAAAGAUAAAAAAUUCAUGAAAAUCCCCGCAGGGGCA